This 411-nucleotide long non-coding RNA is filed under the name Homo sapiens (human). RNAcentral's name for it is "HSALNT0320572". The record is from RNAcentral. Lineage: Eukaryota; Metazoa; Chordata; Mammalia; Primates; Hominidae.
AAGUCAGAGCGAUGUGCUGUGAAAUCUACUACCGUUUGCUGGUUUUGAAAAUGGAGAAAAAGAGUGAGGAACUGAGAAACAUGGAUGGCCUUGGGAACGUGGAAAAGGGUCACUGAAAUGGGACGACAUGAACUCAAGGAGGCUAUUUAUGACCAUGUCAUUUGCAACAUGAAGAAAGCUUAUCUGGAGUGAAAGUAAAUGAGACCAACAGAGAUGAGAGACCCGGAGAAAUCCUGGUUACACUGCUUGAAUCCUACACAUACUAACAAAAGGCCACAUGAGGACACAGUGAGAAGCUGGAAGUCUACAACCCAGAAGAGAGCCCUCAACAGAACCUAACCAUGCUGGUACCCUGAUCUCAGACAUCCAGCCUCCAGAAGAGUGAAAAAAUAUAAUUCUUAUUUCUAAGCA